RNAcentral lists this ribosomal RNA (341 nucleotides) under uncultured bacterium. RNAcentral describes it as "bacterial SSU rRNA". It matches the Rfam family "Bacterial small subunit ribosomal RNA", at positions 32 to 349 of the family's 1533-position model. The record is from RNAcentral.
AAUCAACGCUGGCGGCGUGCCUCAGACAUGCAAGUCGAACGCGAAAGUCCCCUUCGGGGGGACAAGUAGAGUGGCGCACGGGUGAGUAACACGUAGGUAAUCUACCUUCGGAUGGGGAAUAACAACCGGAAACGGUUGCUAAUACCGCAUAAUGCAGCGGCACCUAAUGGUGACAGUUGUUAAAGCGGGGGGAUCGUAAGACCUCGCGUCUGAAGAGGAGCCUGCGGCGGAUUAGCUAGUGGUAGGGUAACGGCCUACCAAGGCGACGAUCCGUAGCCGGCCUGAGAGGGGCGGGUCGGCCACACUGACACUGACAUACGGGUCAGACUCCUACGGGAGGC